This 404-nucleotide long non-coding RNA is filed under the name Pan troglodytes (chimpanzee). Its description in RNAcentral is "long non-coding RNA NONPTRT016199". Lineage: Eukaryota; Metazoa; Chordata; Mammalia; Primates; Hominidae. The record is from RNAcentral.
AUUUAAAUGACCUUUUAUCAAGAUGGAUAAACCCAAGUUUCCCAGUGCUGGAAUACAGAAAAUGGAUGGACAACUGGAUCUACCAUGAAAGACUUCAGAGUUCAGGAAGAGAGACUGACUGGGCAACAUCUUAUUCAGGUACAAAAAGACUUGGACUAUGACUCAAAAAUGAUCAAAUAAUAGUUCAUGCAUCAAAUGCAAUAGGAAGUACUUCUGGAGGGUGAGAGAAGCAUCCAGUUAAGGUGACAUUGAAGCUGGGUCCUGAAAGAUGAGGAAGAGUUGUAUGAGAGUGGGCAGAGAAGGGGGAGGUGGAGGGAUGGGGAAUGGGCUGGGAUGGAGUGAGCUGCUCAAGCAGGGAGACCAGCACUGUAAAGACCUGGACGAUAAAGACGGCACAUUUUAUU